This 200-nucleotide ribosomal RNA is filed under the name uncultured bacterium. RNAcentral describes it as "partial 16S ribosomal RNA". It matches the Rfam family "Bacterial small subunit ribosomal RNA", at positions 323 to 520 of the family's 1533-position model. The record is from RNAcentral.
GGGCGAAUCCAGCUUCNUACGGGAGGCAGCAGUGAGGAACUAUUGGACAUGGGUGAGAGCCUGAUCCAGCCAUCCCGCGUGCAGGAAGACGGCCUUAUGGGUUGUAAACUGCUUUUAUACAGGAAUAAACCAUCUUACGAGUAGGAUGUUGAAGGUACUGUAUGAAUAAGCACCGGCUAACUCCGUGCCAGCAGCCGCGG